UACGGAAGGCAGCAGUGGGGAAUAUUGCACAAUGGGCGAAAGCCUGAUGCAGCUAUGCCGCGUGUAUGAAGAAGGCCUUAGGGUUGUAAAGUACUUUCAUCGGGGAGGAAAAACAAAACUAAUAAUUUUAUUUCUUGACGUUACCCGAAAAAGAAGCACCGGCUAACUCCGUGCCAGCAGCCGCGGUAAUACGGAGGGUGCUAGCGUUAAUCAGAAUUACUGGGCGUAAAGAGCACGUAGGUGGUUUUUUUAAGUUCAGAUGUGAAAUCCCCUGGGCUUAACCUAGGAACUGCAUUUUGAAACUGAAAUACUAGAGUAUCGUAGAGGGAGGUAGAAUUCUAGGUGUAGCGGUGAAAUGCGUAGAUAUCUGGAGGAAUACCUGUGGCGAAAGCGGCCCUAAACGAAUACUGACACUGAGGGUGCGAAAGCGUGGGGAGCAAACAGGGAUUAGAUACC
RNAcentral lists this ribosomal RNA (456 nucleotides) under uncultured bacterium. Its description in RNAcentral is "bacterial SSU rRNA". It matches the Rfam family "Bacterial small subunit ribosomal RNA", at positions 340 to 786 of the family's 1533-position model. The record is from RNAcentral.